GAGCUUUUCAUCUCUAAAUCUUUAUGCAGGUUGUUUCUCAAACCCAUUGAACAUAAUGAUCGGACGUCAUCUCCCAAUUUUGAAUUCCCUGUAUUCGAAGCGGACGAAGAUGAUGUUGAAGGGAUUCCUGACGAGAUUUCCCGACUUCUUGAGCAAGAAAAGAAGAUCACUCAGCUGCAUCUCGAGAAUCAGCAGAACAGCCAACUGGGGCAUUAUAAAAAAA
Molecule: long non-coding RNA, 223 nt
Filed under: Lathyrus oleraceus (garden pea)
Lineage: Eukaryota; Viridiplantae; Streptophyta; Magnoliopsida; Fabales; Fabaceae
Description: Pisum sativum (pea) long non-coding RNA (PSAT_LNC027262)
Source: RNAcentral